This 253-nucleotide ribosomal RNA is filed under the name uncultured bacterium. RNAcentral's name for it is "partial 16S ribosomal RNA". It matches the Rfam family "Bacterial small subunit ribosomal RNA", at positions 524 to 776 of the family's 1533-position model. The record is from RNAcentral.
UACGGGGGGGGCAAGCGUUGUUCGGAAUUACUGGGCGUGAAGGGCUCGUAGGCGGCCAACUAAGUCGGAUGUGAAAUCCCCAGGCUUAACCUGGGAACUGCAUCCGAUACUGGAUGGCUUGAAUCCGGGAGAGGGAUGCAGAAUUCCAGGUGUAGCGGUGAAAUGCGUAGAUAUCUGGAGGAAUACCGGUGGCGAAGGCGGCAUCCUGGACCGGCAUUGACGCUGAUGAGCAAAAGCUAGGGGAGCAAACGGG